RNAcentral lists this ribosomal RNA (241 nucleotides) under uncultured eukaryote. RNAcentral describes it as "partial 18S rRNA". It matches the Rfam family "Eukaryotic small subunit ribosomal RNA", at positions 582 to 818 of the family's 1831-position model. The record is from RNAcentral.
AUUCCAGCUCCAAUAGCGUAUAUUAAAGUUGUUGCGGUUAAAAAGCUCGUAGUUGGAUUUCAGUUCCGGACUGACGGUUCACCGCCCGGUGCCUACUGUCACGCUCCGAACAGCCGCACCGCCGGCUUGCACGGGGUGCUCUUCAUCGAGUGUCCCGAGUGGCCGGCACGUUUACUUUGAAAAAAUUAGAGUGCUCAGAGCAGGCUCCUUGAAUGGCCUGAAUGUCUAUGCAUGGAAUAAU